AGCGAACGCUGGCGGUAGGCCUAACACAUGCAAGUCGAACGAACUCUUCGGAGUUAGUGGCGGACGGGUGAGUAACACGUGGGAACGUGCCUUUAGGUUCGGAAUAACUCAGGGAAACUUGUGCUAAUACCGAAUGGGCCCUUCGGGGGAAAGAUUUAUCGCCUUUAGAGCGGCCCGCGUCUGAUUAGCUAGUUGGUGAGGUAAAGGCUCACCAAGGCGACGACCAGUAGCUGGUCUGAGAGGAUGAUCAGCCACAUUGGGACUGAGACACGGCCCAAACUCCUACGGGAGGCAGCAGUGGGGAAUCUUGCGCAAUGGGCGAAAGCCUGACGCAGCCAUGCCGCGUGAAUGAUGAAGGUCUUAGGAUUGUAAAAUUCUUUCACCGGGGACGAUAAUGACGGUACCCGGAGAAGAAGCCCCGGCUAACUUCGUG
RNAcentral lists this ribosomal RNA (433 nucleotides) under uncultured bacterium. RNAcentral describes it as "partial 16S ribosomal RNA". It matches the Rfam family "Bacterial small subunit ribosomal RNA", at positions 29 to 507 of the family's 1533-position model. The record is from RNAcentral.